RNAcentral lists this ribosomal RNA (468 nucleotides) under uncultured bacterium. RNAcentral's name for it is "partial 16S ribosomal RNA". It matches the Rfam family "Bacterial small subunit ribosomal RNA", at positions 28 to 507 of the family's 1533-position model. The record is from RNAcentral.
GACGAACGCUGGCGGCGUGCUUAACACAUGCAAGUCGAACGGAAAGGCCCUGCUUUUGUGGGGUGCUCGAGUGGCGAACGGGUGAGUAACACGUGAGUAACCUGCCCUUGACUUUGGGAUAGCUUCAGGAAACUGGGGCUAAUACCGGAUAGGAGCUCCUGCUGCAUGGUGGGGGUUGGAAAGUUUCGGCGGUUGAGGAUGGACUCGCGGCUUAUCAGCUUGUUGGUGGGGUAGUGGCUUACCAAGGCUUUGACGGGUAGCCGGCCUGAGAGGGUGACCGGCCACAUUGGGACCGAGAUACGGCCCAGACUCCUACGGGAGGCAGCAGUGGGGAAUAUUGCACAAUGGGCGGAAGCCUGAUGCAGCAACGCCGCGUGCGGGAUGACGGCCUUCGGGUUGUAAACCGCUUUCGCCUGUGACGAAGCGUGAGUGACGGUAAUGGGUAAAGAAGCACCGGCUAACUACGUG